GACGCGGUGGUCUAAUAGUUAGCGCGUUGGACUCUGGAUCGAGUGGUCCGGGUUCAAGCGCUGGCCGGGUCA
This 72-nucleotide transfer RNA is filed under the name Desmophyllum pertusum. RNAcentral describes it as "tRNA-Gln". Lineage: Eukaryota; Metazoa; Cnidaria; Anthozoa; Scleractinia; Caryophylliidae. The record is from RNAcentral.